Molecule: long non-coding RNA, 1668 nt
Filed under: Ficedula albicollis (Collared flycatcher)
Lineage: Eukaryota; Metazoa; Chordata; Aves; Passeriformes; Muscicapidae
Description: lncRNA (ENSFALG00000023401.1)
Source: RNAcentral
AAUCCCCUGCAAACAGAGUCUGGAAACCAAGCAACAUCCACCAGUCAGACGAGACAGAGAAUCCGGCAGCAAUAGCAGUAGAAGAGUAAUUAUGGUUUUAUAAUCAGUAAAUGAGAAAGAUCCCAACUAUCAUCUGCCAAGCCCUGGGGCAGUGUGAAACAAAACAAGAAAGAUAUUAUUUUAGCAAUUGCUUCCCAUGUAAAUGCACAGAAAGGAGUUUUCAUUGAGUUUGUUGGAAAACAGCCUCUUCUGCUGAGAGGAAACCAAUGCAGGAAAGGAAAUGCACUAGAAGUUGGAUUUGUUAAUAGCUUUCUCUGGCCUGUUAUGAAACACUUCAAAUUUGGAAACAAUUUUCUCAGCACACCUGUUGAGGGGAGAAACAAGGCUCCUUCAACCAUCAAUCUGUGGGACCUCAGAGCUCAGCCUGAAAGCAAAGGCGAAACGAAAUACGAAAAUUGCAGUGCAGCAGAAGAGGAGUCAGCUGUCUGCGGGCCUCUGCUGAAAUCCCAUCUUUCGGCACUAAAACCUGAAACUUGGCUGAACUUGAGAUUCAUGAGAGCUCUCAGCUGCAGUUAUUCUGCUGUGCACUGCUCCUUCUUCUUCCACAGUGGAGGUGUCAAGUGUUUUGGGCACUGAUUGCAGUGAUGAUGCUGCAGGGAUCCGAAGGUGCUGUAUUCUGCUGUGAAAGGGUGAUGUGCUCGGCGAACACUGCCUUUGUGACUGAAAUGUUCUGGUGUUACACAGCACCCCUUCAAAGCCAAUCACGUGAAAUCAGUGGAGGUACUUUAUUUCAGACGGAAAUAAAGUGGAGGUACUUUAUUUCUGUUGUAAGCUGUAUGUGAUGUGUGGCUAUGUUUCUAAAAUCUCAGGCUUCAAAAAUUGAUGAAGUAUUGGGGCUUUAUUGAGCCUCUCUUUGCAAGCUUAGGCUGUAAAUACUUUUUAUAGCAAUUACAGAAUUCGGCUCGAAAGUACAAUAUAUCUUGAAGGCAUUCCCAGGAAAUACCCAGGGAAAUGGUGCAUAUCUCACGUUUACCCACGGUGUGCCCAGCUCCCCAAAGCGUUUGUAGCUGCUGUGCUGCAAACCUGAAGCGGAGGAGCACAUUUACAUUUCGCAAAUGACCCUGUAAAUGCCCCAUUAAUUCCAUGUACCUGGUUAGUGGAGGAGGGAAGAGAACGGGUUUGGUGACAUUUGAAGGCGGAGGCAGAGCCGAGCUCUGAGCCUGGAGCUCCCUUUAGCGACCGCGGCGGGAAGUGCACAGCUCCGGCAUCCUGCACGGCUCCCGUAUCCUGCACGGCUCCCGCAUCCUGCACGGCUCCCGCAUCCUGCACGGCUCCCGCAUCCUGCACGGCUCCCGCAUCCUGCACGGCUCCCGCAUCCUGCACGGCUCCCGCAUCCUGCACGGCUCCCGCAUCCUGCACGGCUCCCGCAUCCUGCACGGCUCCCGCAUCCUGCACGGCUCCCGCAUCCUGCACGGCUCCCGCAUCCUGCACGGCUCCCGCAUCCUGCACGGCUCCCGCAUCCUGCACGGCUCCCGCAUCCUGCACGGCUCCCGCAUCCUGCACGGCUCCCGCAUCCUGCACGGCUCCCGCAUCCUGCACGGCUCCCGCAUCCUGCACGGCUCCCGCAUCCUGCACGGCUCCCGCAUCCUGCACGGCUCCCGCAUCCUG